This 1020-nucleotide long non-coding RNA is filed under the name Numida meleagris (helmeted guineafowl). RNAcentral's name for it is "lncRNA (ENSNMEG00000021583.1)". The record is from RNAcentral. Lineage: Eukaryota; Metazoa; Chordata; Aves; Galliformes; Numididae.
AUCAAAGGUGUCAUCAAAGACUCCUUUCAACUUAUGGAACUAUCCUCCCUAAAUUACUGCCCUGAUGAAGCCCUGAUGUUGUGGUGAGGUGACAUGCUGCGAGACCAGCUGAUCCUUAACAAGAGUGUGUGAUAGGGCAGAACAGGCCAGAUGAGAGACAGAAGAUAACCACAAGUAAGCACAGCUCCUACCUUCCUGGUCAUCAACUCAAGGAAGAGAAUAUUUGUGGGGACUCUACACAGGGUGCCUGGAGGAGCCCAGUGGGAACCACUUCCCUGUUGUGUUUCUGCAGGCAUUGCGAAGCAGCAGGAUCCAGGUAUGCUCCUCACCCAGCCUGCUCCAGGGCCCACUGCACCCUGCUGAGCUCAGCAGCCUGCUGCUGCCAGCCAAGUCUCUGCCUCUCAGCUGUAGCAAGGUUAUGGCAGGAACAGUCACCCAGCAACCUCUGCCUGUCAUCAGAGAGAAAAUCCAGCCCCAUCUGCAAACCAGAGCCUCUCGGAUGGGAUUUAUAUCUCUGCGGAGGCAGCAGCUCCUGGCUGCUUGUCUCUGCUGAGUUCAGCAGGAACACAGCACCUUUGGCCAAAAUGGAGCCAGGCUGCCUCCACCCUAUGGCAAGCACUCUGCUAUACAGAAGAAAGCACUGGUGUUUAACUAAGGAAAAAAAAAGUAAAAAAAAAAAAAAAGAAAAAAAGGAAAUAACAAUUGUAUUUUUCUCAAAUAAGCAGAAUUUAAAAACUAAUUAUGUCUCACUUACCUUUUGGAAAUGAGGCUUGCAAAUACAAAAACAAAACAAGAUAUUUCACAGUGAAAGAUAGCUGGAAUGUCUGAGAUCACAUUUAUGUGAUUGGCAGAAUUAGAUCUGUUAAAUCUCAUCUUCUGAAGAUAAAGAAGCCAUCCUCCUUACAGAAGGGAUUCAAUAUUUAAUGACCACUAAGGCAUCCUUCAUAGAAUCAUGGAAUCCUUAGAGUUGGAAGGGACCUUUAAAGGUCAUCCAGCCCAAUUCCCCUGCAGUGAACAGGG